RNAcentral lists this ribosomal RNA (467 nucleotides) under uncultured bacterium. Its description in RNAcentral is "partial 16S ribosomal RNA". It matches the Rfam family "Bacterial small subunit ribosomal RNA", at positions 28 to 506 of the family's 1533-position model. The record is from RNAcentral.
GACGAACGCUGGCGGCGUGCUUAACACAUGCAAGUCGAACGGAAAGGCCCUGCUUUUGUGGGGUGCUCGAGUGGCGAACGGGUGAGUAACACGCGAGUAACCUGCCCUUGACUUUGGGAUAACUUCAGGAAACUGGGGCUAAUACCGGACAUGAGCUCCUGCUGCAUGGUGGGGGUUGGAAAGUUUCGGCGGUUGGGGAUGGACUCGCGGCUUAUCAGCUUGUUGGUGGGGUAGUGGCUUACCAAGGCUUUGACGGGUAGCCGACCUGAGAGGGUGACCGGCCACAUUGGGACUGAGAUACGGCACAAAGUCCUACGGGGGGCAGCAGGGGAGAAUGUCGCACAAUGGGCGGAAGCGUGAUGCAGGAACGCCGCGUGCGGGAUGACGGCGUUCGGGUUGUAAGCCGCUUUCGCCUGUGACGAAGCGUGGGUGACGGUACUGGGUAAAGAAGCACCGGCUAACUACGU